CCCGCCGGACCUGACUGCUAUCGGAUUGAUACUAAGCCAUGCGAGUCAUUGUAGCAAUACAAGGCAGACGGCUCAGUAACGCGUAGUCAACCUAACCUAUGGACGGGAAUAACCUCGGGAAACUGAGAAUAAUGCCCGAUAGAACACUAUGCCUGGAAUGGUUUGUGUUCCAAAUGAUUUAUCGCCGUAGGAUGGGACUGCGGCCUAUCAGUUUGUUGGUGAGGUAAUGGCCCACCAAGACUAUUACAGGUACGGGCUCUGAGAGGAGUAGCCCGGAGAUGGGUACUGAGACACGGACCCAGGCCCUAUGGGGCGCAGCAGGCGAGAAAACUUUGCAAUGUGCGAAAGCACGACAAGGUUAAUCCGAGUGGUUUCUGCUAAAGGAACCUUUUGUCGGUCCUAGAAACACCGAUGAAUAAGGGGUGGGCAAGUUCUGGUGUCAGCCGCCGCGGUAAAACCAGCACCUCAAGUGGUCAGGAUGAUUAUUGGGCCUAAAGCAUCCGUAGCCUGCUUUGUUAGUUUUCGGUUAAAUCUAUACGCUCAACGUAUAGGCUGCCGGGAAUACUGCAAAGCUAGGGAGUGGGAGAGGUAGACGGUACUCGGUAGGAAGGGGUAAAAUCCUUUGAUCUAUUGAUGACCACCUGUGGCGAAGGCGGUCUACCAGAACACGUCCGACGGUGAGGGAUGAAAGCUGGGGGAGCAAACCGGAUUAGAUACCCGGGUAGUCCCAGCCGUAAACCAUGCAAACUCAGUGAUGCAUUGGCUUGUGGCCAAUGCAGUGCUGCAGGGAAGCCGUUAAGUUUGCCGCCUGGGAAGUACGUACGCAAGUAUGAAACUUAAAGGAAUUGGCGGGGGAGCGCCACAA
Molecule: ribosomal RNA, 865 nt
Filed under: uncultured archaeon
Lineage: Archaea
Description: bacterial SSU rRNA
Rfam family: Archaeal small subunit ribosomal RNA
Source: RNAcentral